Lathyrus oleraceus (garden pea) is the source of this 455-nucleotide long non-coding RNA. RefSeq lists it as uncharacterized. The transcript has 2 exons. NCBI's taxonomy places the organism in Eukaryota, Viridiplantae, Streptophyta, Magnoliopsida, Fabales, Fabaceae. The record is from RefSeq and is a predicted model, not a curated record.
CACGUCGGAUAUCUGAGUAGCAAAACUAAACAGUUCAAACACUCAUGGGUUGUCAAACCUCCAACGUCAUAGCAAUUAUUCAGCGCAAGCUCAACAUCUCAGUGUCGAGUUUCUUUGAUAAUAACAACAACAAUUAGUCAACAUGGAGGAUUCAAUGAAUGUAUUAUGCAGGAAAUUCUGCAGGGAAAUCAUGAAGUUUUAUGUAGGAAAAAAUGCACCAAGCUUUGUCUAAUUGUUGCAGCUGACUUUGAUUAAGUUUAGCAAUAGGAAUUGUGCUUGGAAUUGUUAUGAAAAUGGAAAUUCUUAAUGUAAUAUGAAAUUGGGAUUAAUGUGGGAAGAUAAUUGAAUUUAAAUGUGUAUUGAAUUGUGUUGAAUUGUAUUGGAAACAUUUGAUUGUAUUUAGUAAGUCAAUUUCAUUGUGAAAAUAAUGAUUUUGAAGAUUAGUUUGACAUGAA